CCCAGUUUGCUUUGCAUACCCAGAAGAUAAAGACGGUAGCAUUUCCAAGCCUUCUGCAGAGCAUUUUUGUCCAAACUCAAAUUUCGGCACUUUUCAAAUAUAGAGGAUUCCUAGUUUCAGUUGCUGAUCUCUCAAACCGAGAAGCAUGAAGAUGAGUGGCAGAGUAUCACAGUAAGAAGCGGGUGGAUUUUCUGUACACAUAAGUUAGCAUAUGUUCUCGCAUGAACCAUCCUCCAAUGUCUAGUCCAACAACAUUCCCCAUGGAGUAUGGAGAAUGUAAUUUAAAUGAUUAAAUUGGUAUUUUCUUAUCAGUUUAUUCAGUUUUUUAGAUAAUCAAUUAUUUUGGC
Carya illinoinensis is the source of this 347-nucleotide long non-coding RNA. RefSeq lists it as uncharacterized. The record is from RefSeq and is a predicted model, not a curated record. NCBI's taxonomy places the organism in Eukaryota, Viridiplantae, Streptophyta, Magnoliopsida, Fagales, Juglandaceae. The transcript is spliced from 3 exons.